GUUACUGCUAUCGGAGUUCGAUUAAGCCAUGCGAGUCUAAAGGUUUCUUCGGAAACCUUGGCGGACUGCUCAGUAACACGUGGAUAACCUACCCUUGGGACUGGAAUAACCCCGGGAAACUGGGGAUAAUACCGGAUAGAUCAGGGAUGCUGGAAUGCGCCUUGAUCUAAAGCUCCGGCGCCCAAGGAUGGGUCUGCGGCCUAUCAGGUAGUAGUGGGUGUAAUGUACCUACUAGCCAACGACGGGUACGGGUUGUGAGAGCAAGAGCCCAGAGAUGGAUUCUGAGACACGAAUCCAGGCCCUACGGGGUGCAGCAGGCGCGAAACCUUUACAAUGUGCGAAAGCAUGAUAAGGGAACUCCGAGUGCCAGUAUCUAAUACUGGCUGUCCUUGUGCCUAAAACGCACAAGAUAGCAAGGGCCGGGUAAGACCGGUGCCAGCCGCCGCGGUAACACCGGCGGCCCGAGUGGUAGCCGCUAUUAUUGGGUCUAAAGGGUCCGUAGCCGGUUCGAUAAGUCCUCUGGGAAAUCUGGUUGCUUAACAAUCAGACUGCCAAGGGAUACUGUCGAACUUGAGACCGGGAGAGGUAAGAGGUACUUCAGGGGUAGGAGUGAAAUCUUGUAAUCCCUGGGGGACCAUCUAAGGCGAAGGCGUCUUACCAGAACGGGUCUGACGGUGAGGGACGAAAGCUGGGGGCGCAAACCGGAUUAGAUACCCGGGUAGUCCCAGCCGUAAACGAUGCUCGCUAUGUGUCAGGUACGGUGUGACCGUAUCUGGUGCCGUAGGGAAGCCGUGAAGCGAGCCACCUGGGAAGUACGGUCGCAAGACUGAAACUUAAAGGAAUUGGCGGGGGAGCA
Molecule: ribosomal RNA, 856 nt
Filed under: uncultured archaeon
Lineage: Archaea
Description: bacterial SSU rRNA
Rfam family: Archaeal small subunit ribosomal RNA
Source: RNAcentral